GAAGGAUCAUUAUUGAAUGAACUUGGUGUGGUUGUUGCUGGUCCUCUCGGGGGCAUGUGCACACCCAUCAUCCUCAUCUCUCCACCUGUGCACCUCUUGUAGACCUGGAUUGACUUUCCGAGGCAACUCGGUCGGGAAGAUUGCUGCACUCUGUGAGCCAGCUUUCUUUGCAUGUCCAGGACUAUGUUUUUCAUAUACCCCUAUAGAAUGUAACAGAAUGUAUCAUUGGGCCUUGUGCCUAUAAACCUUAUACAACUUUCAGCAACGGAUCUCUUGGCUCUCGCAUCGAUGAAGAACGCAGCGAAAUGCGAUAAGUAAUGUGAAUUGCAGAAUUCAGUGAAUCAUCGAAUCUUUGAACGCACCUUGCGCUCCUUGGUAUUCCGAGGAGCAUGCCUGUUUGAGUGUCAUUAAAUUCUCAACCUUAUUAGCUUUUGUUGAUAAUGGAUUGGAUGUGGGGGUUU
This 461-nucleotide unclassified non-coding RNA is filed under the name uncultured fungus. RNAcentral's name for it is "sequence contains ITS1, 5.8S rRNA gene, ITS2 and 28S rRNA gene". The stretch from base 254 to 407 matches the Rfam family "5.8S ribosomal RNA". Lineage: Eukaryota; Fungi. The record is from RNAcentral.